Molecule: RNase P RNA, 371 nt
Filed under: bacterium
Lineage: Bacteria
Also listed under: 1 other name
Description: RNase P RNA component class A
Rfam family: Bacterial RNase P class A
About the family: Ribonuclease P (RNase P) is a ubiquitous endoribonuclease, found in archaea, bacteria and eukarya as well as chloroplasts and mitochondria. Its best characterised activity is the generation of mature 5'-ends of tRNAs by cleaving the 5'-leader elements of precursor-tRNAs. Cellular RNase Ps are ribonucleoproteins.
Source: RNAcentral
GGAGGCUGCCGGGCGGCCGCCGGCCUUCGGGCCGGAGGAAAGUCCGGACACCACAGGGCAGGGAGGUCGCUAACGGCGACCGGGGGCGACCCCAGGGACAAGGGCCACAGAAAAGAUACCGCCGCCCGAAAGGGCGGUAAGGGUGAAAAGGCGGGGUAAGAGCCCACCAGCCUGCCGGGCGACCGGCAGGGCUUGGCAACCCCCUCCCGGUGCAAGGCCAAAUAGGUUCCGCAUCAAGGACUGCCCGUCCUUUUCCUUCGGGAGGGCGGAACGGGUUGGCCGCUCGAGCCUGCCGGCAACGGCAGGCCUAGACGAAUGGCCGCCGCCCGGUUUUACCGGGAACAGAAUCCGGCUUACGGCAGCCUCCGGCG